UACGUAGGGUGCGAGCGUUAAUCGGAUUUACUGGGCGUAAAGCGUGCGCAGGCGGCCCGUUAAGACAGGUGUGAAAUCCCUGGGCUCAACCUAGGAAUUGCGCUUGUGACUGGCGGGCUCGAGUACGGUAGAGGGGGGUGGAAUUCCUGGUGUAGCAGUGAAAUGCGUAGAUAUCAGGAGGAACACCGAUGGCGAAGGCAGCCCCCUGGGCCUGUACUGACGCUCAUGCGCGAAAGCGUGGGGAGCAAACAGG
This 253-nucleotide ribosomal RNA is filed under the name uncultured microorganism. Its description in RNAcentral is "partial 16S ribosomal RNA". It matches the Rfam family "Bacterial small subunit ribosomal RNA", at positions 524 to 776 of the family's 1533-position model. The record is from RNAcentral.